GUGCUUGCUUCAGAAGCACAUAUACCAAAAUUGGAACAAUAUAGAGAAGAUCAGCAUAGCCCCGGUACAAGGAAGACAUGCAAAUUCAUGAAGGGUUCCUAUUUAAA
This 107-nucleotide small nuclear RNA is filed under the name Prolemur simus (greater bamboo lemur). Lineage: Eukaryota; Metazoa; Chordata; Mammalia; Primates; Lemuridae. The record is from RNAcentral.